AUUUGAGCCUGGGACCCCAGACGAAAGGAUACGCUUCCUUUUAGAACCCCUGCCAAUCUGAGGACGGGGCCACCCCACAGACGCCGUGGCUCAGCAAGCAGACCAAUGGCCGAGGAGUCUGGCAAGGGGCGCUUGGCAGAUGAGAGUGGAGGUUGUAAAUCACCCUCCAUGCAAUGGUUCAUCAUAAAGGAUAUGGAGCAAAAUUAGAGGAGGCACGAGAAGGAAAGCCGGUGAUGAACAAGGAAAGUGCCUGGUUGAAGCUAGCUUGCAAUCCCAAAGUCAGAAGGUUGCCUGGGAAGCCAUGAAACAAAGCCAAAUCAAGGCAAAGCAGACACAUGGAGAUUUUGAGACUGAGAAGAGGAAAACUGAGGACAUUCAUGUGAGAUGGUUUCAAGUUUCCCUUAGAAGGAGAAGUUAUCUUCAGAAGGUCAGGUUGGUGAGGUGGGAGUUCAAAAACAACAAAGUAUGUAGCUACCAUUGUGAGGAAGACCAUGGAAAAUGGACGAAUCAGAAUGAAAGGCUUUCUGAACAAGAGUAAGUACCCCCACUGAUGUGGCUUGGUGGUAUCACCAC
This 573-nucleotide long non-coding RNA is filed under the name Homo sapiens (human). RNAcentral describes it as "non-protein coding LINC00877:13". Lineage: Eukaryota; Metazoa; Chordata; Mammalia; Primates; Hominidae. The record is from RNAcentral.